Molecule: ribosomal RNA, 465 nt
Filed under: Vreelandella stevensii
Lineage: Bacteria; Pseudomonadati; Pseudomonadota; Gammaproteobacteria; Oceanospirillales; Halomonadaceae
Description: partial 16S ribosomal RNA
Rfam family: Bacterial small subunit ribosomal RNA
Source: RNAcentral
CCUACGGGCGGCUGCAGUGGGGAAUAUUGGACAAUGGGCGAAAGCCUGAUCCAGCCAUGCCGCGUGUGUGAAGAAGGCCUUCGGGUUGUAAAGCACUUUCAGUGGGGAAGAAAGCCUUGGGGCUAAUACCCUCGGGGAAGGACAUCACCCACAGAAGAAGCACCGGCUAACUCCGUGCCAGCAGCCGCGGUAAUACGGAGGGUGCGAGCGUUAAUCGGAAUUACUGGGCGUAAAGCGCGCGUAGGCGGUCUGAUAAGCCGGUUGUGAAAGCCCCGGGCUCAACCUGGGAACGGCAUCCGGAACUGUCAGGCUAGAGUGCAGGAGAGGAAGGUAGAAUUCCCGGUGUAGCGGUGAAAUGCGUAGAGAUCGGGAGGAAUACCAGUGGCGAAGGCGGCCUUCUGGACUGACACUGACGCUGAGGUGCGAAAGCGUGGGUAGCAAACAGGAUUAGAUACCCUUGUAGUC